UCCCUGGUGGCUCAGAUGGUAAAGCAUCUGCUUGCAAUACGGGAGACCCAGGUUCCAUCCCUGGGUUGGGAA
Molecule: transfer RNA, 72 nt
Organism: Ovis aries (sheep)
Lineage: Eukaryota; Metazoa; Chordata; Mammalia; Artiodactyla; Bovidae
Rfam family: tRNA
About the family: Transfer RNA (tRNA) molecules are approximately 80 nucleotides in length.
Source: Rfam